RNAcentral lists this ribosomal RNA (1264 nucleotides) under uncultured bacterium. RNAcentral describes it as "bacterial SSU rRNA". It matches the Rfam family "Bacterial small subunit ribosomal RNA", at positions 157 to 1383 of the family's 1533-position model. The record is from RNAcentral.
UCCUUUUUAAUAAAAUUUUUUUUUUUCAACAAGAGAAAAGAAGUCUUUUUUUUGCGCCGCCCUUUUUGGGAGAGGGCCCCCCCCCCUCUUUAAUUUAUUUUUUUUUUGUGUUAGGGGUAAAAUGGGCCUUCCCCCAAAGACAAAUGGUCCCAAAUUAGGUUGAUUUUUGGGAGGGAUGUUUCAGCCCCCCAUUGGGGGCUGGAGACCCGGGGCCCCAAAUUUCCUUCGGGGAGGGCAGCAAGUUGGGGGAUUUUUGCCCAAAGGGAGGGAAAUUUUGGAUGCAAGCGAUUCCGGCUGGAGGGAAGGAAGGCCUUUUGGGUUUGCAAAACUUCUUUCUUCGGGGGAAGAAAAUGCCUGUUCCCGGAAUAAGAAAGGUUCGGGCUAAAUUUCGUGCCAGGCAGCCGCGGGUAAUACGAAGGGGACCUAGCGUAGUUUGGAAUUACUGGGCUUAAAGAGUUCGUAGGUGGUUAAAAAAGUUGAUGGUGAAAUCCCAGAGCUUAACUCUGGAACUGCCAUCAAAACUUUUUAGCUAGAGUAUGAUAGAGGAAAGCAGAAUUUCUAGUGUAGAGGUGAAAUUCGUAGAUAUUAGAAAGAAUACCAAUUGCGAAGGCAGCUUUCUGGAUCAUUACUGACACUGAGGAACGAAAGCAUGGGUAGCGAAGAGGAUUAGAUACCCUCGUAGUCCAUGCCGUAAACGAUGUGUGUUAGACGUUGGGAAUUUAUUUUCAGUGUCGCAGUGAAAACAAUAAACACACCGCCUGGGGAGUACGACCGCAAGGUUAAAACUCAAAUGAAUUGACGGGGACCCGCACAAGUAGUGGAGCAUGUGGUUUAAUUCGAAGAUACGCGCAGAACCUUACCAACACUUGACAUGUUCGUCGCGACUCUAAGAGAUUAGAGUUUUCGGUUCGGCCGGACGAAACACAGGUGCUGCAUGGCUGUCGUCAGCUCGUGUCGUGAGAUGUUGGGUUAAGUCCCGCAACGAGCGCAACCCUUACUUUUAGUUGCCAUCAUUUAGUUGGGCACUCUGAAAGAACUCCCAGUGAUAAGCUGGAGGAAGGUGGGGAUGACGUCAAGUCCUCAUGGCCCUUACGUGUUGGGCUACACACGUGCUACAAUGGCAUUUACAAUAGGAAGCAAGAUGGCGACAUCAAGCAAAUCCUAAAAAAAUGCCUCAGUUCCGAUAAAGUCUGCAACUCGAGUGCAUGAAGCUGGAAUUACUAGUAAUCGUGGAUCAGCGGGCCCACUGUUUUGGCGGGUUGCG